CACACUGUAAUAUAGUAAUUCGUUUUUAUUGUUUUCAUGCCCCAAAAUAUAUUAAAUCAAAUUCCGUCGAUUUUAUAAGAAAAUUUCAUAAAGCUCCAGUCAUGCACAAACACCUCUACAAUCAAAUGUGGCGAAAGCAAUUGACCGUAAUCUAUUCAACUUGGGAUUGCAUUCCGUAGUAGGAGGGAAUUCCAUGUAUAUCCCAGCCUGUGUCAAAACUUACCCGGAAUUGCUGAUCAAGCAGCAUGUAAGAAAAAUUAACUAUUACAAGUACUUGUUAUCACUACCUAUGAAAUACUUAAGUAGGUACUUAAGGCUUCUUUAAGGUUUCCAGUAUAACAAAAUAGCAGAAUUUUACUUAUAAUAUUAUACUACUUUCCUUAACUCGUUUUUAUUUUUUACUUUUAUCACAGGUGCUUGUGUAAAAAUUAAUGUUAAUAUAAAUUGAUGAAAAGUUACAAGGAUCUACAUACCUACAAGCAAAAUGAUAAUAAAGGAAACGGUAUAAAAUCAAAGUGUUAAUGCAAGUACUACUGAUCCAUUGUUGUUAAGCAAGAAGUACAGGAAUACAGAAGGUUAAUGAGGCACAAAAGG
Photinus pyralis (common eastern firefly) is the source of this 594-nucleotide long non-coding RNA. RefSeq lists it as uncharacterized. NCBI's taxonomy places the organism in Eukaryota, Metazoa, Arthropoda, Insecta, Coleoptera, Lampyridae. The transcript has 2 exons. The record is from RefSeq and is a predicted model, not a curated record.